CCUACGGGCGACAGCAGUAGGGAAUAUUGCUCAAUGGGGGAAACCCUGAAGCAGCAACGCCGCGUGGAGGAUGAAGGUUUUAGGAUUGUAAACUCCUUUUGUUAGGGAAGAUUAUGACGGUAUCUAACGAAUAAGCACCGGCUAAAUCAGUGCCAGCAGCCGGGGCAAUACGGCGGGUGCAAGCGUUACUCGGAAUCACUGGGCGUAAAGAGUGCGUAGGCGGGGUAAUAAGUCAGAUGGGAAAUCCGGUAGCUUAACUACAGAACUGCAUUUGAAACUGUUACUCUGGAGUGUGAGAGAGGUAUGCGGAAUGCUUGGUGUAGGGGUAAAAUGCGUAGAGAUCACGAAGAAUCCUGAUUGCGAAGGCAGCCUGCUGGAACAUUACUGACGCUGAUGCACGAAAGCGUGGGGAGCAAACAGGAUUAGAUACCCUAGUAGUC
RNAcentral lists this ribosomal RNA (440 nucleotides) under uncultured bacterium. RNAcentral describes it as "partial 16S ribosomal RNA". It matches the Rfam family "Bacterial small subunit ribosomal RNA", at positions 338 to 795 of the family's 1533-position model. The record is from RNAcentral.